CCAAUAGCGUAUAUUAAAGUUGUUGCAGUUAAAAAGCUCGUAGUUGAAUUUCGGGAUUGACGUGAUGGUCGUGCCUUAAGGGGUAUGAACUGUCGCAGUCAAUUUCUCACCUUCUGGAGAAAUAUGAUGUCCUUAAUUGGGUGUCAUAUGGAACCAGAACUUUUACCUUGAAAAAAUUAGAGUGUUUAAAGCAAGCUUAUUGCUCGAAUACAUUAGCAUGGAAUAAUAAAAUAGGACGGCAUGAUUCUAUUUUGUUGGUUUCUAGGAUCACCGUAAUGAUUAAUAGGGAUAGUUGGGGGCAUUAGUAUUCAAUUGUCAGAGGUGAAAUUCUUGGAUUUAUUGAAGACUAACUACUGCGAAAGCAUUUGCCAAGGAUGUUUUCAUUAAUCAAGAACGAAAGUUAGGGGAUCGAAGACGAUCAGAUACCGUCGUAGUCUUAACCAUAAACUAUGCCGACUAGGAAUCAGACGAUGUUAAUUUUUUAAUGACUCGUUUGGCACCUUACG
This 506-nucleotide ribosomal RNA is filed under the name uncultured Glomeromycotina. RNAcentral describes it as "partial small subunit ribosomal RNA". It matches the Rfam family "Eukaryotic small subunit ribosomal RNA", at positions 591 to 1092 of the family's 1831-position model. The record is from RNAcentral. Lineage: Eukaryota; Fungi; Glomeromycota.